This 443-nucleotide ribosomal RNA is filed under the name uncultured bacterium. RNAcentral's name for it is "partial 16S ribosomal RNA". It matches the Rfam family "Bacterial small subunit ribosomal RNA", at positions 338 to 795 of the family's 1533-position model. The record is from RNAcentral.
CCUACGGGAGGCUGCAGUGGGGAAUAUUGGGCAAUGGGCGCAAGCCUGACCCAGCAACGCCGCGUGACGGCAGAAGGCUUUCGGGUUGUAAACUUCUUUUCUCAGGGACGAAGCAAGUGACGGUACCUGAGGAAUAAGCCACGGCUAACUACGUGCCAGCAGCCGCGGUAAUACGGAGGUGGCAAGCGUUAUCCGGCUUUACUGGGUGUAAAGGGCGUGUAGGCGGGACUGCAAGUCAGAUGUGAAAACCACGGGCGCAAACUGUGGCCUGCAGUUGAAACUGUAGUUCUUGAGUACUGGAGAGGCAGACGGAAUGCCUAGUGUAGCGGUGAAAGGCGGAGAUAUUAGGAGGAACACCAGUGGCGAAGGCGGUCUGCUGGACAGCAACUGACGCUGAGGCGCGAAAGCGUGGGGAGCAAACAGGAUUAGAUACCCCAGUAGUC